AACGCACAUUGCGCCUUCCGGUAUUCCGGGAGGCACGUCCGUUUGAGCGUCAGUGAACACCCUCCGGCCCCCGGUUUUUGCGAACCUGGCGGGCGCGGGCUCAUGGCGUGGGGAUUGCGGCCGCCGCGCUUCUGCGCGCCCACGGCCCUCCCCCGCUUAAACGCGGAGAAAAGCUAGCGGGCAGGUGCCCCCAUUGCGACGACUCGUAGAUUUAUUUUCUUGUCGGCAGGCAUUGGGAGGAACCCCCGCCUUAAACGUGGGGAACCCUUAGCGGGGCGACCCAGAAUCUUGACCUCAGAUCGGACGAGGAUACCCGCUGAACUUAA
This 326-nucleotide unclassified non-coding RNA is filed under the name uncultured fungus. RNAcentral describes it as "partial contains 5.8S ribosomal RNA, internal transcribed spacer 2, and large subunit ribosomal RNA". Lineage: Eukaryota; Fungi. The record is from RNAcentral.